Molecule: ribosomal RNA, 252 nt
Filed under: uncultured bacterium
Lineage: Bacteria
Description: partial 16S ribosomal RNA
Rfam family: Bacterial small subunit ribosomal RNA
Source: RNAcentral
UACGGAGGGGGCUAGCGUUGUUCGGAAUUACUGGGCGUAAAGCGCACGUAGGCGGCGAUCUAAGUCAGAGGUGAAAGCCCGGGGCUCAACCCCGGAAUAGCCUUUGAGACUGGAUUGCUAGAAUCUUGGAGAGGCGAGUGGAAUUCCGAGUGUAGAGGUGAAAUUCGUAGAUAUUCGGAAGAACACCAGUGGCGAAGGCGGCUCGCUGGACAAGUAUUGACGCUGAGGUGCGAAAGCGUGGGGAGCAACAGG